AGCACCAGCACCAGCACCAGCACGGACUAUCACAACUACUGGGAAUGGCAUUUUAUUAGUCCUGCCUGUCACAUUCCCAGCUCCAAUCCAUUCGCAUUAAUUUACGGACCUUUUGUUGGCCAUUGCAAGUUCUGUUCAGAACCUUUGCUGGAGGUGGCAUCAUACAUGAUUGCUUUACAAUGUAGGCAGUUGAAUCCCUAACUGACAACUUGGCUGAUGAUCUACUUGAUUUUGGCGUAGACCAAUUUAUUGGGCCCUUUCGCACACCAUUAAUAUGCGCAAGAUCCUCCUUGUUCUCACUUGUUGAGAGUUUAGGCCUCUUUGAGGCCAAUAUUUGGUCCCCAUUUCUUGUCGAAGUGGAUGAUGCAAACAUUUCUUCAUGUUUCUCAUUUGAUUUUGAUUUGCGAGCUUUCAUCACCUUUUGAGUAGGCUUCUUUGGCCACUUCAUUAUCAUUCCAUCUCGGUUUAGCCUCGAGUUACAUGCGGCAAUCUCACACAAGGUUUGAGCAGCUGCCAGUACUUUUGGACAAUGCUCAACUGUCACACAGAAAAAUGCAAAUAAAAAGGGGCACACCAAUCAAGGAGGUUCAAUUCAAGUGGCAUUAAUUUGCACAUUCCUUGAGUUUUCCUUCUCCCAAUCAAACAAAUGCCAACGUAGGCAGCACCCACGUCUCAAUUUUCAGUAUUUCAUAGAACUUGCACAAACAUUAGCAACAAGCUAUUAUGCAUGCACAAAGAAACAACAAACCGUGGCCAAGCCUAUUAUUGAAGAAAUAAAGUUGCAAGUAACUGUAAAAUCAUACCUUUUCCUCGAUUCUUGAGGCCACCAGAUUCCUUCAUGCAAGUAUCGCCCAGAGGAGUGUGGGAUGUCACAGAAGCGGAUGCUAUUGAGGAACCCCACUCGCACCGAGGAACAAAUGUAGAUGAAGCAAAAUUAUUAUCUAGGAUAGACAGCUUUGUACCACUUGCUGGAACUAAGGUCUCAUCAUAAGCGAAGGACUCCAAGUUUGUAAAAUAAUUAGAGGUACUUCCAAGAGAACUGAAAGCAUACCCCAUUUUCACCCAUCUACCUUGGCAUGUGCUCCUACUUGUUAAAAGCUUAACUGCAUCAGAAUUGGUUCUACAAUGCCCAUUAAAAGUGUGUGACCAGGGAAAUUGUGGCAAGCUAGGCCAGCGAGAUAUUUGCUUGCCUGGACGUGGUUCAGAAGCAUUCCUUGAAGAAACAGCAGGCUUGGCUGCGUCCAGAAGCAAAGACUCCAAAUCCUUAGGUGGAGGAAGUGUUAAGCGUUCUAACGUAUCUUUAGGUUGGUCAAAUGAAAAAUUGAGCAAAUUAGCAGGAGUUUCAGACUUGUUGCUAGAAUCCUGUAACUUCAAAAGGGGAAGCAAUAACACAUGCACAAUUAUGAUUAGAAUUCAAUGUCUGAAGAAAAAGUAAUGAUAAAAUACAAGAUCAAAAAGCUACUUACAUAUUAAGAUUGACAGAGUGGGGGGAUCAAUUGGCACAUUGGACAUCAUAGUUUUAAAAAAAAAAAUUCCAAUAUUUUUUUAAGACAAAGCCAGUAGUUGCAUGCACAGCAAGAGAAGGGGAGAGAGAGUGACAGAGAGAAGGGAAGAAGUUCCUGUCAUUAAAAUUUUCAAACUUUUCUGCUUGGUAUUGCAAGUGAAACUGCUUUUUUGCUUAAAUGUUAUUGGCUUAUUGCAAAAAAGCAGUUUUAAACUCUUCUUUUAGCUAUUUUGGGUUUUUACAGUCAAAACAAGUCAACUCUAUCCUGAAACAAAUUUUAAUUGCUUUAAUCAACAUAUUCAAUAAGGUGCCUUUUUUAAUCACAGCUAUACCAAUAAAGCCAAACAAAUCUAUAGUCAUUUAAGUAUAAUUCCUGUCCUGCAUCCAGACAAUUAUCUUAGAUGUGAUUUAAACUAACCUUGUUUGAUAAAGAUAUAUCUGUUGUAGAUGAAUCACCAUUAUCUCCAUUUCCCACGGUAGAAAUAGAGCUAGAUUGGCACGUAGGCAUUUUCUCAUUGGAACAGCUAUCUAUAUCAGCAAAAUUUUGGAUCUGUGCAGACCUAGGUAGCUGAAGAAUAGAGCAAGCCUUUCUAACUGAAUGCAGAAUACGUUCAGUUGUGUUUGUUGCUUUCUUUCCCCGGUCUUUGCCUAAGCUAGGACACUCAUAAGCGCCUUGAAGGAGAUCAUUCAAUGAUAAAUCAUCUACAAGUUUUGUGAUGUCAUGAACAUCUGUCUUCAGACCAUACAAUCCAAAGAAGUUGUUUCCCGCAGCAGCUGAACUGAAGCUCGCCAAACUUGCCUUCACAGAGAAGGAAUCAUAUUUAGCCCUCGUGGAAACUUUGGAAUUUCUCCUAUCCCCACGUUUGCUGCUGAAGUUAUUCUUUUGUCUUGACAAAUGAGCUUUCUCUUGAGAGUCAAUUUUUGUCAGAUGCGAUCCUAGCUUAUCAGAUGGAUCCUUCAUGUCAUCAACCACAACUGGACCUUUAGUAUCUUCCAAUAGAGCUAUUUGUGGCCUUUUAUGACAUCCACGACCACUUAUUGACAUUUGUCCUGAUUUUCUCUGUACAUGCGUUUUUUCAGGCGUUGGAACAACCCUCGAAGGACCAUUGGCACCACUACAAUGGCGCUGUUUGGACACGCUUUCACUAGGAAAGCUGGGCAGGUGGCUUGCAUGCUGGCAAAGUUCAGAACCUGGAACCUUAUCCAAAGGUGUAGACUCCAAAAAAUUCACUGAGCUUGUCCACUCUUUUUUGCUAAGCAAAGAGUUGCACAGCUCACGGCUCGACUCGCAAGCCGCUGCCUCCUCCUCCAUCAACGUAACCCUAUCUCUACCAAACCCGUCCGAUCCCAUAACCUUCGGUGCCGCCACAUCCACAGGAUAAUUCAACUCCACAGCAUCCAUAACCAAGACCCAGACCUCACAGCCGGCAAAAUUGAUAACAACCAAAGGCACAUACCUCGCGAUCUGGAACGACAGGGUCAAGAGCGAGCAGAACGGGGCCGUUUUGACGCGCUGUCGGAGAAACCGAUGAGGGGAAGCGAGGAUUUGGAGGGAGAAAGUGAGGGAAAGUAAAGGAGACUGAAGAGUUUGGAAGUGAAGAGCAUGUGUGCGGCGAGGUGGAGGCUAGAGAGAGGAGGUGUACUAUUAGGGCUAA
RNAcentral lists this unclassified non-coding RNA (3159 nucleotides) under Hevea brasiliensis (rubber tree). The record is from RNAcentral. Lineage: Eukaryota; Viridiplantae; Streptophyta; Magnoliopsida; Malpighiales; Euphorbiaceae.